RNAcentral lists this ribosomal RNA (445 nucleotides) under uncultured bacterium. Its description in RNAcentral is "bacterial SSU rRNA". It matches the Rfam family "Bacterial small subunit ribosomal RNA", at positions 946 to 1392 of the family's 1533-position model. The record is from RNAcentral.
CUAGUGAUUAACGCGAAGANCCUUAACCAGGCCUUGACAUCCAAUGAACUUUCCAAAGAUGGAUGGGUGCCUUCGGGAACAUUGAGACAGGUGCUGCAUGGCUGUCGUCAGCUNGUGUCGUGAGAUGUUGGGUUAAGUCCCGUAACGAGCGCAACCCUUGUCCUUAGUUACCAGCACGUUAUGGUGGGCACUCUAAGGAGACUGCCGGUGACAAACCGGAGGAAGGUGGGGAUGACGUCAAGUCAUCAUGGCCCUUACGGCCUGGGCUACACACGUGCUACAAUGGUCGGUACAGAGGGUUGCCAAGCCGCGAGGUGGAGCUAAUCCCAUAAAACCGAUCGUAGUCCGGAUCGUAGUCUGCAACUCGACUGCGUGAAGUCGGAAUCGCUAGUAAUCGCGAAUCAGAAUGUCGCGGUGAAUACGUUCCCGGGCCUUGUACACACCG